This 253-nucleotide ribosomal RNA is filed under the name uncultured bacterium. RNAcentral describes it as "partial 16S ribosomal RNA". It matches the Rfam family "Bacterial small subunit ribosomal RNA", at positions 524 to 776 of the family's 1533-position model. The record is from RNAcentral.
UACGUAGGCAGCGAGCGUUGUUCGGAGUUACUGGGCGUAAAGGGUGCGUAGGCGGUUGUUUAAGUUUGGUGUGAAAUCUCCCGGCUCAACUGGGAGGGUGCGCCGAAUACUGAAUGACUAGAGUGCGGGAGAGGAAAGUGGAAUCCCGGGUGUAGCGGUGAAAUGCGUAGAUAUCCGGAGGAACACCGGUGGCGAAGGCGGCUUCCUGGACCGACACUGACGCUGAGGCGCGAAAGCUAGGGGAGCAAACGGG